GAUGAACGCUGGCGGCGUGCCUAAUACAUGCAAGUCGAGCGAACAGACGAGGAGCUUGCUCCUCUGACGUUAGCGGCGGACGGGUGAGUAACACGUGGAUAACCUACCUAUAAGACUGGGAUAACUUCGGGAAACCGGAGCUAAUACCGGAUAAUAUAUUGAAUCGCAUGGUUCAAUAGUGAAAGACGGUUUUGCUGUCACUUAUAGAUGGAUCCGCGCCGCAUUAGCUAGUUGGUAAGGUAACGGCUUACCAAGGCGACGAUGCGUAGCCGACCUGAGAGGGUGAUCGGCCACACUGGAACUGAGACACGGUCCAGACUCCUACGGGAGGCAGCAGUAGGGAAUCUUCCGCAAUGGGCGAAAGCCUGACGGAGCAACGCCGCGUGAGUGAUGAAGGUCUUCGGAUCGUAAAACUCUGUUAUUAGGGAAGAACAAAUGUGUAAGUAACUAUGCACGUCUUGACGGUACCUAAUCAGAAAGCCACGGCUAACUACGUG
RNAcentral lists this ribosomal RNA (497 nucleotides) under uncultured bacterium. RNAcentral's name for it is "partial 16S ribosomal RNA". It matches the Rfam family "Bacterial small subunit ribosomal RNA", at positions 28 to 507 of the family's 1533-position model. The record is from RNAcentral.